GGAGUGUAAACUUUGAAGAGGACGUCACCGCUCAGUAAAUGUACACAGACAUUCAAUUUCGUUCUCUUCAUUUUAGACAUAAUGCGUAACUGAUUAUUUUUUUAGCACACUGAUCGAUAUCUCGGUAAAAUAAUCUUCUUUUUUUUUAACUAGCGGGGCAGUGAAAUCUUUGCUUUGUGCUAAAGUCAACAGUGACAGAGUUUGAGCUCAAAUAAAUGCCGUGAUGUCUCCAGCCCUUUGCAGAAGGCUGAAGGCGAGGUUCCACAUUGGGCUCCUAGCUUGCCAGUAAGCAUCCACCGUAUUUCACAGAUGGAGGUGGAAUGGGACCAAUGGGAUCAAUGCGGUGCUGCCUACAAUCUUCUCCCUGCAUCACCUCAGAUCCACAGACACAGAACCACAAAGGCAGUUUCCUCUCUGAGUGCUUGUCUACCUGGCUACGUCUGCGUCUGACCUGUCUGGAUCUAUGAAAUAUCAAAGCUUGUGUCAGGACGCGUGAAUAGGGAGAGAGAGGCACCAUUAAUGAUUAACUGUUCUAAAAGCCUAUCAGGCAGCCAUGUGACAUGCUCGCAGCAUGUUUUGAGCAGAUUGGGGGAAGCUAGUGAGCAAACACAGGUGCUUUGGACUGGAGUCGCCGACGCUGUCAGGGACAACCACAAACAAGAGCAGCACUGCCUAGCUAAAUGAGAGCCCACCCACUUUACUUACUCCCUGACUAGCUUAGCUUAGUCACUGACUGCAGUGGCUGGAGAGCCUCACCAGAGACCAAGUCCAAUGUCCCCCCAGUGUUCCACAACCUUUCACACAAACAAACAAAUAAAACGCGAGGAUUGGAGUCGCUGUGGUCUCAAGCAUAGGGGAAAGCAAACAAAUGAAUUGUGUUCCAGUUCUCACUUUCUAAAACAAACCAAAUGUGGGUUGAACACUUGUUCUUGAGAAGCCUAGUGGAGGCGAUGAGAGAUAUUCAGAAAUAUGCAGGAUGACAAACUGAUUGUCAGGAAAUGAAGUGGUUGAUUUGAUUGUUUCAUUAAUGUUUCAUGACAGGUGGAUGACGAAUAGAUCAUAAAGACACAAAAGCCUAUUUUCUGUCAACAAAGUAGACUAUUUUGUUGUCCUGAUUUUAUUUCGAUUUUUCUGGAGUUGUUUUCAAGGUUUUAUAAACACGGUCUAGGUCCAGGCACUUAACCAUUUUCUCCUCAACAACGUCUGUCCCUUUGUAAAACGACUGAGAGCGUUCUGUAGCACAACUUUGAUAACACAAUCAGAUGAUAUGAUGGCGUUAACUGAACACGGCUUUCCGGCAGCGAGAUAAAUGAACAGCACGAUAACGUUAACAAAAGCCUAGCUCUGAUUGGUAGGUCUAUGAUUGGAAAACAGGCAGCACGGAAAGUCUACACAAUAAGGGCAAUUCAUUAGAUUUGUUAUUUUCUACAUGACCUGGGUCAGACGGACACCUUUUGUAUCAGUCAAAUAUUUAUUUGUGUGUUUUACAGGUCUUUCGUUUCAUACCCAGCAAUUACAGUGAGCCUGUAAAGCAGACAUGAUAAAAGUGUUUUAAAACAAACACUCCAAAUCAACAGGAGAGGAAAUUAAGUUGUAAAGGCAGAGCGAGACAGAGAGAGAGAAGCUGAGACAGAACAAGAGGGAGAAAAAGACAUAGAGAGAGAAGCUGAGAGAGAACGAGCGGGAGAGAGAGACAGAGAGAGAGAAGCAGAGAGAGAACAAGGGGGGAGGGGGUAGAAACAGGGAAUGGACUCAGGGGGUAUGCUAAUUUGGUAUAGAGCAGACCUAACUCACUCUAUUAAAUUAAUCAAAACAGGAACAUUUUACAUUUGUCUAGAACUUCAAAAGGAAAUUAUCUUCACAGAGAAAAAUGUCCUCCAGUGUGCUACCUAUAUCCCCCACUAGAAUCCCCAUACUUUAAUGAAGACAGCUUCUCCAACCUGUAGGGGGAAAUCAAUCAUUUCCAGGCCCAGGGACAUGUACUAGUCUGUGACGACCUAAAUGCCAGAACUGGACAAGAACCUGACACCCUCAGCACACAGGGGGACAAACACCUACCUGGAUGAGACAGCAUUCCCUCCUUUCCCUACCCGCUGGGUAUGUACAUAGUCAAUGGUAGGCUUCGAGGGGACUCCUAAGGUAGGAACACCUAUAGCUCAUCUCUUGGCAGUAGUACUGUAGACUACUUUAUCACUGACAUCAACCCAGUGUCACUCAGAGCGUUCACAGUCAGCCCACUGACACCCCUAUCAGAUCACAGCAAAAUCACAGUCUACUUGAACAGAGCACUACUCUAUCAUGAGGAAUCAGCCAAAGGAACUGAAUAAUAUUAAGAAAUGCUAUAGAUGGAAGGAAAGUAGUGUGGAAACCUACCAAAAAACUAUUAGGCAACAACAAAUUCAAUCCUUUUUAGACAACUUCCUGGACAAAACGUUUCAUUGUAAUAGUGAAGGUGUAAACUUGGCAGUAGAAAACCUAAACAGUAUAUUUUACCUCUUAGCUUCCCUAUCAAAUCUAAAAAUGUCAAACAGAAAACCCGAAGAAAAUUAACAACAAUGACAAAUGGUUUGAUGAAGAAUGCAAAAACUUAAGAAAGAAAUCAAGAAACCUAUCGAACCAAAAACAUAGAGACCCAGAAAACCUAAGCCUAUGCCUUCACUAUGGUGAAUCACAAAAAUAAUACAGAAAUACACUACGGAUAAAAGAAGGAACAGCACGUCAGAAAUCAGCUCAAUGUAAUCCAUAGACUCUAACCACUUCUGGGAAAAUUGGAAAACACUAAACAAACAGCACAGGAAAAAAAAAAAAAAAAAAUGUAUGAAAUUGUAUGAAAUGUAUGCAUUCACUACUGUAAGUCGCUCUGGAUAAGAGCGUCUGCUAAAUGACUAAAAUGUAAAAUGUAACAACAUGAAGAGUUAUCUAUUCAAAAUGGAGAUGUAUGGGUAAACCACUUCUCCAGUCUUUUUGGCUCUAUAACAAAGAACAAACAGCAAAAACAUAUACAUGAUCAAAUACAAAUCUUAGAAUCAACUAUUAAAGACUACCAGAACCCACUGGAUUCUCCAACUACAUUGAAUGAACUACAGGACAAAAUACAAACCCUCCAACCCCAAAAGGCCAGUGGUGUUGAUUGUAUCCUCAAUGAAAUGAUAAAAUAUGCAUACCACAAAUUCCAAUUGGCUAUACUUAAACUUUUUAACAUCAUCAUUAGCUCUGGCAUCUUCCCCAAUAUUUGGAACCACAAAAGUGGAGAUAAAUUUGACCCCAAUAACUAUCAUGGGAUAUGAAUCAACAGCAACCUUGGGAAAAUCCUAAGCAUUAUCCUUAACAUCAGACUCGUAUAUUUCCUCAGUGAAAACAAUGUACUGAGCAAAUGCCAAAUUGGCUUUUCACCAAAUUACCGUAUGAUAAAAAACACAUAUUCACACUGCACACCCUAAUUGACAAACAAACAAACCAAAACUAAGGCAAAGUCUUCUCAUGCUUUGUUGAUUUCAAAAAGGCUUUCGACUCCAUUUGGCAUGAGGGUCUGCUAUGCAAAUUGAUGAAAAGUGGUGUUGGGGGAAAAACAUACGACAAUAUAAAAUCCAUGUACACAAACAACAAGUGUGCGGUCAAAAAACUAAUUUCUUUCCACAGAGCUGUGGGGUGAGACAGGGAUGCAGCUUAAGCCCCACCCUCUUCAACAUAUAUAUCAACGAAUUGGCGAGGGCACUAGAACAGUGUGCAGCACCAGCCUCACCCUACUAGAAUCUGAAGUCAAAUGUCUACUGUUUUCUGAUAAUCUGGUGAUUCUGUCCCCAACCAAAGAGGGCCUACAACAGCACCUAGAUCUUCUGCACAGAUUCUGUCAGACCUGGGCCCUGAUAGUAAAUCUCAGUAAGACAAAAAUAAUGUUGUUCCAAAAACAAUCCAGUUGCCUGGACCACAAAGACAAAUUCCAUCUAGACACUGUUGCCCUAAAGCGGUGGUUCCCAAACUUUUUAUAGUCCCGUACCCCUUCAAACAUUGAACCUCCAGCUGCAUAACCCCUCUAGCACCAGGUUCAGAGCACUCUCAAAUGUUGUUUUUGACAUCAUUGUAAGCCUGCCACACACACACUAUACGAUACAUUUAUUAAACAUAAGAAUGAGUGUGAGUUUUUGUCACAACCUGGCUCGUGGGAAGUGACAAAGAGCACUUACAGGACCAGGGCACAAAUAAUAAUAUAAUAAUAAUCAAUAAUGAUGCUCUUUAUUUGACCAUCUUACAUAUAAAACCUUAUUUGUUCAUCAAAAAUGGUGAAUAACUCACCACAGGUUAAUGAGAAGAGUGUGCCUGAAAGGAUGCACAUAACUCUGCAAUGUUGGGUUGUAUUGGAGAGAGUCUCAGUCUUAAAUAAUUUUCCACACACAGUCUGUGCCUGUAUUUAGUUUUCAUGCUAGCGAGGGCCGAGAAUCCACUCUCACAUAGGUAUGUGGUUGCAAAAGGCAUCAGUGUCUUAACAGCAUGAUUUGUCAAGACAGGAUACUCUGAGCGCAGCCCAUUCCAGAACUCUGGCAAUGGCUUCUGAUUACAUUUUCACAGAACCGCUUGUUGCAAUUUCGAUGAAGCUCUCUUGUUCAGAUAUCGGUAAGUGGACUGGAGGCAGGGCAUGAAAGGGAUAACGAAUCCAGUUGUUUGUGUCAUCCGUUUCGGGAAAGUACCUGCGGAAUAGCGAAUCCAACUCCCUAAGGUGCUUUGCUAUAUCACAUUUGACAUUGACCGUAAGCUUGAGUUCAUUUGCUCACAAAAAAUAAUACAAUGAUGGAAAGACCUGUGUGUUGUCCUUGUUAAUGCAGACAGAGAAGAGCUCCAACUUUUUAAUCAUAGCCUCAAUUUUGUCCCGCACAUUGAAUAUAGUUGCAGAGAGUCCCUGAAAUCCUAGAUUCAGAUCAUUCAGGUGAGAAAAAACAUCACCCAGAUCGGCCAGUCGUGUGAGAAACUCGUCAUCAUGCAAACAGUCAGACAAGUGAAAAUGAUGGUCAGUAAAGAAAACUUUAAGCUCAUCUCUCAAUUCAAAAAAACGUGUCAAUACUUUGCCUCUUGAUAACCAGCACACUUCUGUAUGUUGUAUAAGCUUUACAUGGCCGCUGCCCAUAUCAUUGCAAAGUGCAGAAAAUAUACGAUAGUUCAGGGGCCUUGCUUUAACAAAGUUAACCAUUUUCACUGUAGUGUCCAAAAUGUAUUUCAAGCUGUCAGGCAUUCCCUUGGCAGCAAGAGCCUCUCAGUGGAUGCUGCAGUGUACCCAAGUGGCAUCGGGAGCAACUGCUUGCACGCGCGUUACCACUCCACUAUGUCUCCCUGUCAUGGCUUUUGCGCCAUCUGUACAGAUGCCAACAUGAGCAGCAGCUACGUUUGGCUACAUACGGACCGUUAGUGGCAUUCCCGCGAGACAGUAACGGUUAAUGUGAUUGGAUGUUAAUUAUUUGACUAGGCUACCUGUAUUUGACAUUGUGUUGUUAUUUCGCUGAACACUAGAUGGUUGAAUUGUAUUUUUGGCAGUGAAACGAGGCUACUCAGGCAAGAAAAAAACCUCACCCAAAUGUAUAGCCCCGUUGGAAAAUAUAAAUGGACUGUUUCAAAAUGUUAAGAAAUAAAUAUAUAAAAAAAUGUAAAAAGUGAAUCACAUUUUUAUUUGGCGUACCCCUGAUGGCAUUGCGCGUACCCCUGGGGAAUACCUGCUGUAGAGCACACAAAAAAACUAUACAUAUCUCGGCCUAAACAUACCCUCCCUGGCGCUCGAGGGCACCAGGCUACCCUUCUUUACACGCACCUGUCACUAUCAUUACGCGCAGCAGCGCUCAUUGGACUCACCUGGACUCCUUCACGUUGUUGAUUACCCCCUGUAUAUCUGUCUGUUCCUCUGUGGUGUUCCCUGUGUCCCCAUUAAUUGUUGUUAUGUGUUCCUGUCCAGACGCUGUUCCUGUUCCGUUUCAUGUCCGUCAGCUAUUAAACCUUCACUCCCUGUACCUGCUUCUCAUCUCCUGCGUCGUUCCUUACACGCCACAGGUAACUUCCACAAAGCUGUGAACGGUCUGAGAGACAAGGCAAGAAGGCCCUUCUAUGUCAUCAAAAGGAACAUAAAAUUCGACAUACCAAUUAGGAUCUGGCUAAAAAUACAUUAAUCAGUUAUUGAACCCAUUGCCCUUUAUGGUUGUGAGGUCUGGGAACCGCUCACCAAAUGGGACAAACACCAAAUUGAGACUCAGCAUGCAGAAUUCUGCAAAAAUAUCCUCGGUGCACAACAUAAAACACCAAAUAAUGCAUGCAGAGUAUAAUUAGGCCGAUACCUACUAAUUAUCAAAAUACAGAAAAGAGACGUUAAAUUCUACAACCACAUAAAAGGAAGCGAUUCCCAAACCUUCCAUAACAAAGUCAUCACCUACAGAGAGAUGAACCUGUAGAAGAGUCCCCUAAGCAAGCUGGUCAGCAACACAAUUAGACCCAACCAAAUCAUGAGAAAACAAAAAGAUAAUUACUUGACACAUUGGAAAGAAUCAAGAAAAAAACUGAGCAAACUAGAAUGUUAUUUGGCCCUGAACGGAGUACACAGUGGCAGAAUACCUGACCAAUGUGACUGACCCAAACUUAAGGAAAGCUUUGACUAUGUACAGACUCAGUGAGCAUAGCCUUGCUAUUGAGAAAGGCCGCCGUAGGCAGACCUGGCUCUCAAGAGAAGACAGGCUAUGUGCACACUCCCCAGAAAAUGAGGUGGAAACUGAGCUACACUUCCUAACCUCCUGCCAAAUGUAUGACCAUAUUAGAGACAGAUAUUUCCCUCAGAUUAUACAGACCCACAAAGAAUUUGAAAACAAACCCAAUUUCGAUAAACCCCCAUGUCUACUGGGUAAAAUACCACAGUGUGCCAUCACAGCAGCACAAUUUGUGACCUGUUGCCACAAGAAAAGGGCAACCAGUGAAGAACAAACACCAUUGUAAAUACAACUCAUAUUUAUGUUUAUUUAUCUUCCCUUUUGUACUUUAACUAUUUGCACAUAAUAUGACAUUUGAAAUGUCUUUAUUAUUUUGGAACUUUUGUGAGUGUAAUGUUUACUGUUACAUUCUAUUGUCUAUUUCUACUUCACUUGUUUAUUAUCUACUUCACUUGCUUUGGCAAUGUUAACAUAUGUUUCCAUGCCAAUAAAGCCCUUAAAUUGAAAUGUAAUUGAGAGAGAUGAGUAGAGAGAACAAUAGAGAGGGGGGGGGAGAAAGCAGGACAGAGAGAGAAGCAGAGAGAGAACAAGAGGGAUAAAGAGAGACAGACAGACAGAGAUCAAAACUAGGUCAGCAGUACCUCUGGAACUCUACUGUCCAGCUGACUUUUUGAGCCCAAUUCUCAGUGUGUGUAUGUGUGUGUGUGUGUGUGUGUGUACACACACUCUAGGGGCUCACUCAAAGCUGUGUUUGUUUUCCUUCUGAAUCUGAUUGAAGAAAUAUUGGGGUCUUGAUAUAGAAUAUUGGAAAUGAAAAAAAAGCCCAAAUGUCAUUUUAUAUUCUAAGAAUAAAAACACUAUAUAAAAAACACUAUAUAUAAUUUAAGUACUAUUUUGAAGAAAUAUAAUAUUGUCUACCUUUUCGUGUCUGAAAUUCUUUGCAAUUGUUUAUUCUAGCUACCUGGUACAUUCAAUUUGCAAACAUUUCAAUUUUUGGGGGUAAGAAGACUGUUUAAAGAAUAACAGUAUGUUUCACUUCUUGUAAGCUUUCUUUGUGGACAUGGUGUCUAAGCCUCAAUAGAAACUAACGAAGUAGACCCAUUGAUCAGCUCAACUCAUGUUAUGCAGAAGAUCCCUGUGGGGAUUUACUGUGAUGUGAUCGUGGAGUCUGAUCUGAGGAGUUACGAAUCCUCACUUUCAGGGAUCUUACUGUAAUUCAAAUGCAGGAGUUGAGUCAAAGCGUUGAGGGCUGAGUUAAAGCGUGGGGGCCUAACAUCUCGAGAGGAUUUCAGACAACAGCUUUGUUGCCAAGUCAUUGUGCCACUGUGAAAGUUGUAAUGAGGUAAAAAGAUGAAAGCUCACUGAACAUAGUGACACGCUCAAAGGCCCUUUUGAUGUCACAGGCCCAAUGCUAAAAUUUGAAAAGAGCAAAGUGUGUCCUAAGCUGCAAUGCACUGCAUUAACCCCUAGUCUUUUGUCAGGCCUACACAUACAACAAAGGAAUAUUCCAUUCUGUGGAAAAUGUCAUUCAUUAAUGGUGAGUUGCUCUUUGAAAGGAAAGCUUACCGCCAAUGUACUUGAAACCGUCAAUGUACUUGACUCUUAUCUAGAAAAGGUGAUCAAGGGAUGGAUAGUGUUCACUUGUAUUUAAAAUGUUGUUGUAGUUACAAGGAAAUAUGCUUUUUGUUUGCUAUACACUGAAAUAAAUAACUUUCCCGCAAAUGCAUGGAAAUACACAGUAAUGCAAUAUGUAAAAUGGAACUGACACCAUUUAAACUACUUUGCAGACAUUAAACCAACAGACAAUCAUAAUAUCAGUCAAAAAUAUCACAUUCCCAGUUUAUGCUACAAAACCAACUUCAUAAAAAGGUUUUAAAAAUAUGUUAUAUUUGACUCAGAAUUCCAUGGGAUUUUUCAGAGAAUAGAUGGAUGCAGUUCAAUGCAUGAUUAAUAUAAUUCACCAUUACAUUUGUUGGAAGCCCAAAAAAUAUUUCUAUCAGGUUAUAAAUCCCAGCUGGCCUGGAACAUUGUUUGUUAUCUCCACCCAUUCAGUUUCAGUUUCAAUGACUCAAUAUUUUGAACAAAAACAGACGACUGUAACUAAGGCUAGGAAUGUCAAUACAAUCAAACCACAGGAGGUUGGUGUUACCUUAAUUGGGGAGGACAGGUUCAUGGUAGUGGCUGGAGCAGAAUUAGUGGAAUGGUAUCAAAUACUUCAACCACAUGGUUUUCACGUGUUUGAUGCCAAUCCAUUUAUUCCGUUCCAGCCAUUAUUAUGAUACGUCCUCCCCUCAGCAGCCUCCACUGAAUCCAACUAGCAAGGGCAAUGAUCACAAGUCAGUCAUAAUGUGGCUAAUAGGCUAGUGAACAUAUCAAACACAAGGCCCUUGGACUGAAUAGGACAAAGAAGCGAAUAUAAAUAAGUAAAAAGUAAUCUACUUCAUGAAAAUACAGCCUGAUGUGCUUGCUUUGGGGAAUUCAACUUCAAUUGCACUGCUUUAGUUUUUCCCGUUUGUAGCGUGCAGUGGAGGGAAAGUGUACAGACACAUGCCACAGUCCUAGCUAGGCUACUAAAAUGUUGCAGUCUGGCUUUGCUUUUUAAAGCUUGACAAUGAAUAACCAAAAAACUAAACCUGCAGCAAAACACCACGCAAAGGUAAAACAUGUAGGCCUAUUACAGCAACAUUUGAGCAGUAGCCUAAUCUGGCUACUCAACCACAAGACAUUUUGAGUGCACCAAAUGUUCAAUACGGCCCGUGCGCUGAUUGAGUUUGAUACCCAUGGGCUAGCAUAUCUAUUUAUGUAGCUACCUAUUUAUUUAGCAAGCUAAAAACAAGGAGCCUAAUGUUAGCAAACUAGCUAGCUAGCUGCUGGGAGGAUGUCAUUGGAGGAGUGGGGUAGUGACCGACUUUUUCCCCUCAUAUCAUUUUUCAGUGGCUACAGCUAGAGAUGCAGGUGUCAUUUGGUUAGCUAGCAAGAAUGUGAAUCGCUUCGCUAGCUAGCUAUGCUGAACCUGAACGACUGCUAUCCACAGUUAGCAUAUAUCUUAGUUGUCAAGCAAAUGUAUUUGGCAGGCAGGCAAGUUCCCAUUCAGUUCUCAAAAGAUGGGUUGGGACAAGAAUGCAUUGGCAGACAAGCUGCAGAAGGACGAGCAAGCUACUCUUCCCCAUCGUUUAUCAGAAAAUAAUUUAUAGCCAACUAAAAGCUGAGAAAGUUUGAGAGGGUUUAUCUAGUGUUCCUUCGUUAGAUUUUAGCUCAUCUCUCUCCGGCUAGCAUUAGUUAUUGAUCUUGUUGUUGUUGAUAUGCAUAGGCAACCCGAGGGAGAGAGAGCCUACUGUACCUGUUCAUGGUUGUUUGAUCAAUAGGGCUGUGACGUUCCCAAAUGUAAGAUGACUCCCAUGGUAUUUACAUAUUUGCAGAAAUCCAUUCAGGUGAUUUAUGUGGCUUUUGGUGAAUGCAAUCAAAUGAUUUAAAGUUGCGCUGUUGCUACUGCAUAUACGUAAACACACAGUCCAGUUCAAAGUGAAUGAUGGCAGGUCUGUGUGGCAAAUGGCUUAAUUCCAUAUAGGCCUACUGUAGCUCUGACUGGCUAUGGUACACCGGUCUGCGGAGACAACGUCCUGGACAAGACAGAUGUUUUUAUUAGGUUUUAUUUACUGCAGUGUCUAUUAAUUGUCCAAAUUCACAUCCGUUUUCCCACUCUAUAUUGCUAUAGAACUUUCACAAAUGCCUAAGUAUAUGUAAUUCCCAAACAUUAUAUGAAUUAAAUGAAAAUGUGAAAAUGACUAUAUCGAAUGUGUCAUAU
This 10479-nucleotide long non-coding RNA is filed under the name Salmo salar (Atlantic salmon). Its description in RNAcentral is "lncRNA (ENSSSAG00000083261.1)". The stretch from base 2838 to 2891 matches the Rfam family "UnaL2 LINE 3' element". The record is from RNAcentral. Lineage: Eukaryota; Metazoa; Chordata; Actinopteri; Salmoniformes; Salmonidae.